AUACCUGCCACUCUGCCAGCA
RNAcentral lists this microRNA (21 nucleotides) under Bos taurus (domestic cattle). Its description in RNAcentral is "bta-miR-2402". Lineage: Eukaryota; Metazoa; Chordata; Mammalia; Artiodactyla; Bovidae. The record is from miRBase by way of RNAcentral.